GACGAACGCUGGCGGCGUGCUUAACACAUGCAAGUCGAACGGAAAGGCCAUGCUUUUGUUGGUCGCUCGAGUGGCGAACGGGGGAGUAACACGUGAGUAACCUGCCCUUAACUUUGUGAUAACUUCAGGAAACUGGGGCUAAUACCGCAUAGGAGCUCUUGCUGCAUGGGGGGGGUUGGAAAGUUUCGGCGGUUGUGGAUGGAUUCGCAGCUUAUCAGCUUGUUUGGGGAGUAGUGGAGUACCAAGGCUUUGAAGGGUAGGCCGCCUGAGAGGGUGACCGGCGACAAUGGGACUGAGAGAGGGCCCAGACGCCUACGGGAGGCAGUAGUGGAGAGUAUUGCGCAAUGGGCGGAAGCCUGAUGCAGCAACGUCGCGUGCGGGAUGCCGUGUUUCGGGGGGUGAACCGCUUUCGCCUUUGACGUAGAGUGCGUGACGGUAAUGGGUCAAAAAGCACCGGCUAACUACGUG
RNAcentral lists this ribosomal RNA (468 nucleotides) under uncultured bacterium. Its description in RNAcentral is "partial 16S ribosomal RNA". It matches the Rfam family "Bacterial small subunit ribosomal RNA", at positions 28 to 507 of the family's 1533-position model. The record is from RNAcentral.